AGAGUUUGAUCAUGGCUCAGGACGAACGCUGGCGGCGUGCUUAACACAUGCAAGUCAAGGGGGCCCAGCAAUGGGCAACCGGCGAACGGGUGCGUAACACGUGAGCAACCUACCGAACUGUGGGGGAUAGCCGGCCUAACGGCCGAGUAAUACCGCAUACGCUUUCAUUGAGGCAUUUCAGUGAAAGGAAACCUACGGGACAGAUCGAGGGGCUCGCGGCCUAUCAGCUAGUUGGCGAGGUAACGGCUCACCAAGGCGACGACGGGUAGCUGGUCUGAGAGGAUGGCCAGCCACAUUGGGACUGAGAUACGGCCCAGACUCCUACGGGAGGCAGCAGUGGGGAAUCUUGCGCAAUGGCCUAACGGCUGACGCAGCGACGCCGCGUGUGGGAUGAAGCUCUUCGGAGUGUAAACCACUGUUGCCCGGGACGAAUAGCUCGAUUAAUCGAGCCUGACGGUACCGGGUGAGGAAGCACCGGCUAACUCCGUGCCAGCAGCCGCGGUAAUACGGGGGGUGCGAGCGUUGUCCGGAAUCACUGGGCGUAAAGGGCGCGUAGGUGGUUUGAUAAGGGUGUGGUGAAAGUCCGGGGCUCAACCCCGGAUCUGCCGUGCCGACUGUCAAACUCGAGGGCUGUAGAGGCAGACGGAAUUCCGGGUGUAGCGGUGGAAUGCGUAGAGAUCCGGAGGAAGACCGGUGGCGAAGGCGGUCUGCUGGGCAGUUUCUGACACUGAUGCGCGACAGCGUGGGGAGCAAACAGGAUUAGAUACCCUAGUAGUCC
RNAcentral lists this ribosomal RNA (778 nucleotides) under uncultured bacterium. RNAcentral's name for it is "bacterial SSU rRNA". It matches the Rfam family "Bacterial small subunit ribosomal RNA", at positions 8 to 796 of the family's 1533-position model. The record is from RNAcentral.